UGUAUCUCCUGAGGAGACUCAGGUCCUACGCUGUAGUGUGCUGGGGCAGCAGGAUGAAGACGGCCGACACCAACAGACUCAACAAGCUCAUUAGGAAGGCUGGCUCGGUACUGGGUGUGGAGCUGGAGUCUGUGGUGGAGGUGACGGAGAGGAGGAUACUGAGGAAACUCUUCAGUAUUCGUAACAACACGUCUCACCCCCUGCAUGACACACUGCUGUCCUACAGAAGCACAUUCAGGAGGAGCAGCACAGAACGCCACAGGAGGUCCUUCCUGCCAGUGGCCAUCAGACUGUAUAAUCCUCCCCUUUCUGUAGGGAGAAGAGUUAGAUAAUCAUGUCAGGCAUCACUGUCAUUCCCUCCACUGGUCUAUAUUUAUGUUUACUUAGCACCUUAUCUCUCCAUAUUUGUAUCCAUGUAUCAUAUAUUGUGCUCAUACGGCGUAUGAUACCGGAAGCCCUGGAGACCCUGCAGGGAUGUUUUGAGGUGACUGACUGGGAUGUGUUCUGUGACACCCACGGUGAGGAUGUAGACACACUCACAGACUGUAUCACAGAAUAUGUUAAUUUUUGUACAGAUUCUCUAAUCCCCACCAGGCCAAUACGCUGCUUUCCAAACAAUAAACCAUGGGUGACAAAGGACAUCAAGGCAUCACUCAACAGAAAGAAGACAGCCUUCUUCAGUGGAGACAGAGAGGAGAUGAGGAGGGCCCAGGCAGAGGUGAAGGAGAAGAUUGGAGAGGGCAAGGAGAGCUACAGGAGGAAGCUGGAGAGCCAACUUCCCCGGAACAACUUGAGGGAGGUUUGGAGUGGCAUGAGAACCAUCACCGGCCACAAUAGGAUCUCUAACCAGCUGAUGGAUGGAGAUAUGCAGGAGGCCAACCAGCUGAACCUGUUCUUCAACAGGUUUGACAGGUUUGAUAGUCCACUCCCUGACCACCCUCCCCCUCCCUGUGAUGCACCAUUAACACCUGUCUAUAACAACAAUGUACCUCCUCCUCCUCCCCCUAACCAUACUAACCAGUCUCACCUCCCCAUCAAUAACAUCACCCUGCCCCCCUUACCCCACCUUCCAUUAACAACCCCCCAGCCUCCCUGCCCCCCUCCCCCAUCAGAUCUCUCUCUCUGCUCUUCUGUGUCCACAGUUACCAUCACCACAGAAGAUGUGAGGAGGGAGUUCAGUCGCCUACGACCGGGAAAAGCUGCAGGACCGGAUGGACUCAGCC
This is a long non-coding RNA of Parambassis ranga (Indian glassy fish), 1223 nucleotides long. The record is from Ensembl. NCBI's taxonomy places the organism in Eukaryota, Metazoa, Chordata, Actinopteri, Ambassidae.